UCCUACGGGAGGCAGCAGUGGGGAAUAUUGGACAAUGGGGGCAACCCUGAUCCAGCCAUGCCGCGUGUGUGAAGAAGGCCCUCGGGUUGUAAAGCACUUUCAGCGAGGAAGAACGCCUAGCGGUUAAUACCCGCUAGGAAAGACAUCACUCGCAGAAGAAGCACCGGCUAACUCCGUGCCAGCAGCCGCGGUAAUACGGAGGGUGCAAGCGUUAAUCGGAAUUACUGGGCGUAAAGCGCGCGUAGGUGGCUUGAUAAGCCGGUUGUGAAAGCCCCGGGCUCAACCUGGGAACGGCAUCCGGAACUGUCAAGCUAGAGUGCAGGAGAGGAAGGUAGAAUUCCCGGUGUAGCGGUGAAAUGCGUAGAGAUCGGGAGGAAUACCAGUGGCGAAGGCGGCCUUCUGGACUGACGCUGACACUGAGGUGCGAAAGCGUGGGUAGCAAACAGGAUUAGAUACCCUGGUAGUCCACGCCGUAAACGAUGUCGACCAGCCGUUGGGUGCCUAGCGCACUUUGUGGCGAAGUUAACGCGAUAAGUCGACCGCCUGGGGAGUACGGCCGCAAGGUUAAAACUCAAAUGAAUUGACGG
Molecule: ribosomal RNA, 587 nt
Filed under: uncultured bacterium
Lineage: Bacteria
Description: bacterial SSU rRNA
Rfam family: Bacterial small subunit ribosomal RNA
Source: RNAcentral